UACGGAGGGUGCAAGCGUUAUCCGGAUUUACUGGGCGUAAAGGGCGCGUAGGCGGCCAGCGCAAGUCAGUUGUGAAAUCUCCGGGCUUAACUCGGAACGGUCAACUGAUACUGCGCGGCUAGAGUGCAGAAGGGGCAACUGGAAUUCUCGGUGUGGCGGUGAAAUGCGUAGAUAUCGAGAGGAACACCGGUGGCGAAGGCGGCCUUCUGGACAGCAACUGACGCUGAGACGCGAAAGCGUGGGGAGCAAACAGG
This 254-nucleotide ribosomal RNA is filed under the name uncultured bacterium. RNAcentral describes it as "partial 16S ribosomal RNA". It matches the Rfam family "Bacterial small subunit ribosomal RNA", at positions 524 to 776 of the family's 1533-position model. The record is from RNAcentral.